Molecule: ribosomal RNA, 834 nt
Filed under: uncultured Algibacter sp.
Lineage: Bacteria; Pseudomonadati; Bacteroidota; Flavobacteriia; Flavobacteriales; Flavobacteriaceae
Description: bacterial SSU rRNA
Rfam family: Bacterial small subunit ribosomal RNA
Source: RNAcentral
AUGAACGCUAGCGGCAGGCUUAACACAUGCAAGUCGAGGGGUAACAGAGGUAGCUUGCUACUUGCUGACGACCGGCGCACGGGUGCGUAACGCGUAUACAAUCUACCUUUUGCUGAGGAAUAGCCCAGAGAAAUUUGGAUUAAUGCCUCAUAGUAUGUUGACUUCGCAUGGAGAUAACAUUAAAGGUUACGGCAAAAGAUGAGUAUGCGUCCUAUUAGUUAGUUGGUGUGGUAACGGCACACCAAGACAGCGAUAGGUAGGGGCCCUGAGAGGGGGAUCCCCCACACUGGUACUGAGACACGGACCAGACUCCUACGGGAGGCAGCAGUGAGGAAUAUUGGACAAUGGAGGCAACUCUGAUCCAGCCAUGCCGCGUGCAGGAAGACUGCCCUAUGGGUUGUAAACUGCUUUUAUACAGGAAGAAACCGCUCUACGUGUAGAGCUCUGACGGUACUGUAAGAAUAAGGAUCGGCUAACUCCGUGCCAGCAGCCGCGGUAAUACGGAGGAUCCAAGCGUUAUCCGGAAUCAUUGGGUUUAAAGGGUCCGUAGGUGGAUAAUUAAGUCAGAGGUGAAAGUUUGCAGCUCAACUGUAAAAUUGCCUUUGAUACUGGUUAUCUUGAGUUAUUAUGAAGUAGUUAGAAUAUGUAGUGUAGCGGUGAAAUGCAUAGAUAUUACAUAGAAUACCAAUUGCGAAGGCAGAUUACUAAUAAUAUACUGACACUGAUGGACGAAAGCGUGGGUAGCGAACAGGAUUAGAUACCCUGGUAGUCCACGCCGUAAACGAUGGAUACUAGCUGUUCGACUUCGGUUGAGUGGCUAAGCGAAAGUGAUAA